GCAGAUAUAGCUCAAUUGGCAGAGCGCCGGCUUCAGAAUCUGGAGGUUAUAGGUUCGAUUCCUAUUGUCUGCGCCU
RNAcentral lists this transfer RNA (76 nucleotides) under Gammaproteobacteria bacterium. Its description in RNAcentral is "tRNA-Leu". It matches the Rfam family "tRNA". Rfam says of the family: Transfer RNA (tRNA) molecules are approximately 80 nucleotides in length. The record is from RNAcentral. Lineage: Bacteria; Pseudomonadati; Pseudomonadota; Gammaproteobacteria.